RNAcentral lists this long non-coding RNA (3615 nucleotides) under Coffea arabica (coffee). RNAcentral's name for it is "long non-coding RNA (CARA_LNC002958)". Lineage: Eukaryota; Viridiplantae; Streptophyta; Magnoliopsida; Gentianales; Rubiaceae. The record is from RNAcentral.
AAUCAGAUUGCAAUCUUUAAACCAUUUUUUCAACAGUAUCAUCACCUCUUACUAGAAAACUUUUUGCUUUAUAUGUUUGCCUUCAAUUAGGUCAGAAGCAUGAAGCGUGCUAGAGACAUAAGAGAUCAGUUGGAGGGGCUAUUGGAAAGGGUUGAGAUUGAAGUGACAUCCAAUGUCAAUGAUUUGGAAACUAUAAAGAAGGCUAUAACAUCAGGCUUUUUCCCCCACUCUGCAAGGUUGCAAAAGAAUGGAUCAUAUCGAACUGUCAAACAUCCGCAGACUGUUCAUAUUCACCCGAGUUCAGGUUUAGCUCAGGUAGCUGCUCAAUGAUUUUGAUAUUCACAAUUGGACGUUUUCUCUAAAUGAAGCUUUGAGGAUUAUAUAUUUGACCCAUGUGCCAGUACAAUAUUUUGGCAUGAUUUAAAAUUUCUGCAACUCUUUGUUGAUCAUAUUCAUCAUGUCUCUUGAGUUAUGAACAUUAGGUAUAUCUGUAAUCUUUUGGAAUGGAAAUUUUAAUUUUCUAAACUAUUUUUCAUACUAUUAAGGUAUCAAACUCAUAAUUGAAUAAAAUUGAUUCCAUCCUGUCAUUAAACUGUUUCUAUGCUACACCUUAUUCUGAUCAUUUCAAGUUGGCGUCUGAUAGCUGUAGGUGUUCCUGUCUGUACCUUUGUCUCCAUCAAUUUUCUUUCCAUGUUUGUCAACACAAUUACACUAGCAAGCUAGGGAUUAUUAUCACUACUAAUUGUAUUGCUUUGGCCACAACUUGAAGAAAGAAUUUUAAAAUAAUAUAGGCUAGGGGUCAGGUAGUUUUGGUGUCAAUUGAUAUCAAACGUUCCUUUAAGCAUGUAUUUGGAGCCUUGUGGACGAUUGUAGUCAUUUGUACUGGGAUAAUAGCAAGAUGUUUCUCCCACUUUUUCAAACUUGAUGUCCUUAUUCCUCUUUGUUUUAUUCUCUUGUGGAAGUUUAAAGCAUUUGACAUCUUAUCAAACUGCGUGAAAAUGUGAGAAAACGUUGAGAUGCAAGAUAUUUGAUCUGAUAAAUGUCAAAAACACCUAUGAUGACAUUUUGACAAAAAACAAAAUGUCAAAAACACCUAGGGAUCCCAAGUAUCUCUUUAAAGGAAAGACCACAACAAAAUUAGUCUCCUUGCCAACUCUCAACUAGUUGGAAGUACUUACUAUUCAGAUGAGGUCUUUUCUUAUCUUCAUCCUAAUUGUAUAACACACCCUGAGGCCUUUGCCAGUUCCUAAUGGGUUGGAGAAAACAGAAAAUUUCAUACUUACCUAACUAUCGGUGUAUAUUGAAAUAGUUUUAGUUCUUCUUAAUGUGUACAUGACUUUAAUGUCUUCCCCUUAUCUAUGACUAUGAAAGCGCAAAGCAGGUACAACAGUUGAAAUGGGGAGGGCUUAUAUUAGUAUAAAUAAAUAGGAUACAUUACUUGAUUUAGAAUUGGGGAAAAACUUAGAGUCAAGUGUAAAAUGAUGAAAGUGUUGGAAGGAUGUGAAAUCAAAUGUUCCAAAAUGUUUUUUCCAUAAUCAAAUCAAAUCAAACUCUAUUCUGUCCCCAAGUAUCUAAUGUUUUCUGAUUCUACCAUGUUUAUCCAUGAAAUAGGCUAAUGUAUAGCGCUUAGGUUUUAAAAGAAUGGUAAAUACUGUACCCAAGUUAUAAGCAUUAGCACUCUUAAUAGUUUCAAACAUUAUGGAUAGACGAAUCUGACAAUAUGAUUAGAAACAAAAGAUUGCAAGUUGGAAGUAGGAAUAAAAAGUUACUGCUCUCAACAAAACAGGAUCAUGAGCCUUUGGUGUUCAAGGAUAAAAAGGUGCAUAUAGCAAUAUACUAUUUUUUAUGAGGCCUGUUUCAGUAACAAAUUCUCUCUCACAUGAUAAGAAUUUGGUUUGUUGUACUAUAUAGUUCAUCCUCAUCACAGAAAGAGCGGCAUUUAACAUGUGACAUCCAGGUGCAGGGUCAUCAAAAUAGAAUUUUUGGUAAUUAUAACAUUGAUUUUAUUGAGUUAUUUUACUUGUAUAGGACGGACAAAUGGCUAAUUUACCGAGACUGGGGCCUAGAAAUCAAAGAAAGGUUUCUGGCAAUCUUAUUAGCAUGGAGCAACAAGAGCUAAUUUGCAUAGAUAAACAAGAGUAGUGAAAAUAUUUACCAGAAGAAACCUACUUGAAAUGAGUUCAUAUACUCUGAUUUACAUCUUUGAGAAUCUAAAUGGAAAUCCAUAGGGAGCUUGAAGUGGAAGUCAAUCAUAGGCAUGCUUUAUUAGCGAAAUCAGGAUGUUAAAACUCCAGUAAGAGCUUCAACACCUCCUAGUAUUUUGUAUGUGAUCUCAUAUCUCGAGUUGAGGCAAAUGUGAGGACAUGGCAGUUAAAAAUCAUGAGUUGGAAAAUAAUUUUUUCUUUGAUUUUUUAGGUGCUUCCAAGAUGGGUUGUGUACCAUGAACUGGUGUUGACAACCAAAGAGUACAUGCGGCAGGUAAGAGAUCUUGAUUUGAUUUUGAUUUGAGUUUGCCUUUUCUUGCCAGUGAAUAUGCUGUGCUAUUUUAUCUUUUGAUGUCUUGCAUUAUAUAGCUUAAAAUUUCUUGCAUUAUGGAGCUUUAACUCAUAUGCUGCAGGCAACCGAACUAAAACCAGAAUGGCUGGUAGAAAUAGCUCCUCACUAUUACCAGUUGAAGGAUGUUGAAGACCGUAAGCCUCUUCCUCCCUUCCUCUCUCUCUCUCUCUCUCUCUCUCUCUCUGAGUGUGUGACCGUGGAAGCAUUUGCCAUCCAGUCUUGUUUUUGUGUUUGAUUGGGUGUGUUAUGAGUACCUUUCUAUCUGUAACAACAUAAGAGAUAAUUGUGUGGGCUAUACCAUAAUGUCUUUUCUGCUAUAUAUUGUUCUCUGAUUCUGUGUAAUCUGAUGAAUGCUACGAGUCCAUAAGUGGUUGUGCUGCCAAAAUAUCACUUAGUUUUCAAACUGCUCUAGUUCUAUAUGGAUUUUGCCCCCAUUGUUGAGAUCAUGUAGUUUAGGCUGAUGAUUGAUUGCCAAUAUUUGAACCCUUCUCCAAACACUUCAAAACAAAACAGAAUAUCAGUGUCUUAUAUGCAUGAUAAUGCUAGUGGUGACUGUUUUUUAGAAAGAAAUGUAUGACCUUUACCUGGUAGCUGGUGAAGCUCAUCUCAUUUGCAAUGAUGAACCUAAGCAGUCGCCUCAUAUGUGCAUUGGACAGAAACUAGUUUCUUUUUACAACAAUCAUUAAAGGAUGAACUUGCAAGGAGUACUUACAAAAAAAUAAAUAAAUAACUUGCAAGAAGUGUGUGACCAUACAUGAAGAUUGCUGCAUCUAUUUCGUUAUAUGUGCUGAUUGCUCGUCAAGGUUACAGAUUAGGCCAAAUACUAGUAUUUUGGGUAGAUUACAAGCUGAAAGCUUCAUAAGAUCAACUUUUUUUGCCCUGUCAAUGUGCUUUGAACUUUGCAUGGUAACUUCUUAAGCCAUCUCUCUCACAAUAGUGUGCGAUGAUUAAUUCUGAUAACUUGCCAUCGCAGCUACAUCAAAGAAAAUGCCUCGUGGGGAAGGCCGCACAUCGUAGGAUUCGUAUUCUUUAUUUAUACUGACAUGACUUCUGCGUUGA